AUGAAACACUCCUACGGGAGGCAGCAGUGGGGAAUUUUGGACAAUGGGCGCAAGCCUGAUCCAGCAAUGCCGCGUGCAGGAUGAAGGCCUUCGGGUUGUAAACUGCUUUUGUACGGAACGAAACGGCCCUUUCUAAUAAAGAGGGCUAAUGACGGUACCGUAAGAAUAAGCACCGGCUAACUACGUGCCAGCAGCCGCGGUAAUACGUAGGGUGCGAGCGUUAAUCGGAAUUACUGGGCGUAAAGCGUGCGCAGGCGGUUAUGUAAGACAGAUGUGAAAUCCCCGGGCUCAACCUGGGACCUGCAUUUGUGGCUGCAUAGCUAGAGUACGGUAGAGGGGGAUGGAAUUCCGCGUGUAGCAGUGAAAUGCGUAGAUAUGCGGAGGAACACCGAUGGCGAAGGCAAUCCCCUGGACCUGUACUGACGCUCAUGCACGAAAGCGUGGGGAGCAAACAGGAUUAGAUACCCCUGUAGUCCGAAGUUC
RNAcentral lists this ribosomal RNA (483 nucleotides) under uncultured bacterium. RNAcentral describes it as "bacterial SSU rRNA". It matches the Rfam family "Bacterial small subunit ribosomal RNA", at positions 328 to 802 of the family's 1533-position model. The record is from RNAcentral.